This 465-nucleotide ribosomal RNA is filed under the name Vreelandella stevensii. RNAcentral's name for it is "partial 16S ribosomal RNA". It matches the Rfam family "Bacterial small subunit ribosomal RNA", at positions 338 to 795 of the family's 1533-position model. Lineage: Bacteria; Pseudomonadati; Pseudomonadota; Gammaproteobacteria; Oceanospirillales; Halomonadaceae. The record is from RNAcentral.
CCUACGGGGAGCAGCAGUGGGGAAUAUUGGACAAUGGGCGAAAGCCUGAUCCAGCCAUGCCGCGUGUGUGAAGAAGGCCUUCGGGUUGUAAAGCACUUUCAGUGGGGAAGAAAGCCUUGGGGCUAAUACCCUCGAGGAAGGACAUCACCCACAGAAGAAGCACCGGCUAACUCCGUGCCAGCAGCCGCGGUAAUACGGAGGGUGCGAGCGUUAAUCGGAAUUACUGGGCGUAAAGCGCGCGUAGGCGGUCUGAUAAGCCGGUUGUGAAAGCCCCGGGCUCAACCUGGGAACGGCAUCCGGAACUGUCAGGCUAGAGUGCAGGAGAGGAAGGUAGAAUUCCAGGUGUAGCGGUGAAAUGCGUAGAGAUCGGGAGGAAUACCAGUGGCGAAGGCGGCCUUCUGGACUGACACUGACGCUGAGGUGCGAAAGCGUGGGUAGCAAACAGGAUUAGAUACCCGUGUAGUC